This 324-nucleotide ribosomal RNA is filed under the name uncultured Paracercomonas. Its description in RNAcentral is "SSU rRNA". The stretch from base 105 to 324 matches the Rfam family "Eukaryotic small subunit ribosomal RNA", at positions 735 to 955 of the family's 1831-position model. The record is from RNAcentral. Lineage: Eukaryota; Cercozoa; Cercomonadida; Cercomonadidae.
GAUUUCUGGUACGAUAUGCCUGGCCCGUCCUCGUCAGAGGCUCGAGUGCUGGUGUGUGUCUGCCAUCUUUCUAGAGAGCGGCACUUCCCUUCAUUGGAGAGGUGUCCGUCAUCUAGAUCUUUUACUUUGAAAAAAUUAGAGUGUUUAAAGCAGGCUUUUUGCUAUGAAUACAUUAGCAUGGAAUAAUAAUUUAGGACUUUGGCCCUAUUUUGUUGGUUUCUAGGACUGAAGUAAUGAUUGAUAGGGAUAGUUGGGGGUGCUCGAAUUCAGCGGCCAGAGGUGAAAUUCUUGGAUUCGCUGAAGACGAACUCAUGCGAAAGCAUU